UGUCCCAUCCAUAUAGAAAGCAAUUGCUUAAAGAUCUCUACUAGCAAUACAUACAUUCCACAAAAUCAAAUGUAUUCAAACAACAUUUAUGAUAAUAUAUAGUACAAAAACUAUUUAUCGUUCACUACAAUAGAUCGAGUUUACUUUUGUCCUCUAUUCAUCAAAUUCAAUCAACGGUAUUUUCCUGCACAUUCAAAAGUAAAUUAUAAGUUAGAGAAUCAUGUAUUUCAUAUGCUCACUAUAUUGUUCAAUUCCCAGCCCUUUCCCAACCCCUUCACAGUUAAAUGAUCCCUAAAUAUGUACAAAAACUAUAAAAUCUUGGAGAAAACAAUAGGGCAUGUAUUCCAAGACUGUCACAGUAGGCAAAUAUGAAUGAUAAAAUAAAUCUGGGAGAAAACAGUAGGCAAACAGUUAAAUGAUCCCAAACAUGUACAAAGCAGAGACCCAAUAUGAAUGAUAAAAUCUGGAAGAAAACAAUAGGAAAACAUACAAAUGCAUAAAAAAACAUGUAAUAAGUUCAUCACAAACAUGGGAAUUUCUUCACUGCCGUAUUAUCAAAAGAAGGAAGGGUUUAUACAUUCUCUUGGGGAAAUGAAGCUAAACUUGGUCAUCAAACUAAGCAAACUGAUCUGGAACCCCGUCCAUUAUUAGGCGCAUUAGAGAAUAUUCCAAUGGUGCAAAUUGCAGCAGGAUAUUGCUCACUGUGUCACAUUUUAUCAGAGAAGGACAAUUGAAUGAAACGUUGGUAAGCCAACAUGCCCCACCACUACUAAUUCCCCUUAUUCUUAACACCAAAUAGCAAUUGCAAGGAGGAAAGAAUUGUUACUUUUGGAAGAGAACCUGCAGUUUGUUCUUGUUGUAGCAAACUUGGAACAUAUUCAAUUGAUCACGUCUUUGUGUCUGGGCACUUUGCCAAUUAUAUCUGGAAAAUUCUUUUCAGAUUCCUUGGGCAUUACUCACAGACAUAUUCCUCUAGAAGAACAGGUGAUAUGCA
This 994-nucleotide long non-coding RNA is filed under the name Solanum tuberosum (potato). RNAcentral describes it as "long non-coding RNA (STUB_LNC007201)". Lineage: Eukaryota; Viridiplantae; Streptophyta; Magnoliopsida; Solanales; Solanaceae. The record is from RNAcentral.